Molecule: ribosomal RNA, 253 nt
Filed under: uncultured bacterium
Lineage: Bacteria
Description: partial 16S ribosomal RNA
Rfam family: Bacterial small subunit ribosomal RNA
Source: RNAcentral
UACGGAGGGUGCAAGCGUUGUCCGGAUUCAUUGGGUUUAAAGGGUGCGCAGGCUGGACAUUAAGUCAGGGGUGAAAGACGGUUGCUCAACAAUCGCAGUGCCUUUGAUACUGGUGUUCUUGGGUAACCUUGAGGUAGGCGGAAUGGGUGGUGUAGCGGUGAAAUGCAUAGAUACCACCCAGAACUCCGAUUGCGAAGGCAGCCUACUGGAGGUCAACCGACGCUCAGGCACGAAAGCGUGGGGAUCAAACAGG